This 506-nucleotide ribosomal RNA is filed under the name uncultured bacterium. Its description in RNAcentral is "partial 16S ribosomal RNA". It matches the Rfam family "Bacterial small subunit ribosomal RNA", at positions 29 to 523 of the family's 1533-position model. The record is from RNAcentral.
AGUGAACGCUGGCGGUAGGCCUAACACAUGCAAGUCGAACGGCAGCACAGAGGAGCUUGCUCCUUGGGUGGCGAGUGGCGGACGGGUGAGGAAUACAUCGGAAUCUACUCUGUCGUGGGGGAUAACGUAGGGAAACUUACGCUAAUACCGCAUACGACCUACGGGUGAAAGCAGGGGAUCUUCGGACCUUGCGCGAUUGAAUGAGCCGAUGUCGGAUUAGCUAGUUGGCGGGGUAAAGGCCCACCAAGGCGACGAUCCGUAGCUGGUCUGAGAGGAUGCUCAGCCACACUGGAACUGAGACACGGUCCAGACUCCUACGGGAGGCAGCAGUGGGGAAUAUUGGACAAUGGGCGCAAGCCUGAUCCAGCCAUACCGCGUGGGUGAAGAAGGCCUUCGAGUUGUAAAGCCCUUUUGUUGGGAAAGAAAUCCAUCUGGUUAAUACCCGGGUGGGAUGACGGUACCCAAAGAAUAAGCACCGGCUAACUUCGUGCCAGCCGCCGCGGUAA